AUGUAUGAAGCAGCGUGGGGUGGGAGAAUAGCCCAUCCUUCAGCUUCAGCUAAAGUAGGAGGAGUGGGUGAGCCACUCUGUCUAAUGACUUAUCCUGGUGUUUUUCUUUCUAAAGACUUGAUGCUGGAGAGUAUAAGUGAUAGAAGUUACGAGGAGACUCAUCCAGGUUUGGCUAUCCGUCCCAAGCGCUGGACCACAAAAAUAUGGAGAUGGACCAAAAUUUGGCGUGCAGGAAAUAAAGGAUAGCCGAAGGCCAUCCACACAGUCACUCCGUUUCUGCCCUCCAAGACAACAAGGUCCAAGACAACAAGGUCACACUGGUGUGUCUCAUCAGUGACUUCUCAGGUGCUGUGAUGGUGGCCUGGAAGGCAGACGGCACCCCCAUCACCCAGGGCAUGGAAACUACAAAACCCUCCAAAUAGAACAACAAGUACGCAGGCAGCAGCUACCUGAGCCUGACCAGUGGAGGUCCCACAGAAGCUACAGCUGCCAGGUCACGCAUAAAAGGAGCACUGUGAAGCUGACAGAGACCCCUGCAAGAUGUGCUCAGGCCCCUGACCCUCACCCCAUCCAUAGGGUGCUGGAGCUGCAGGAUCCCAGGGCAGGGGUCUCCUCUCUCAUUCCAAGGCAUCCAGCCCCUCUCCCUGCAUCCAAGUAACCCUCAAUAAAUAUUUUGAAUUAGAAAUCCUGUUCCA
This 695-nucleotide long non-coding RNA is filed under the name Piliocolobus tephrosceles (Ugandan red Colobus). RNAcentral describes it as "lncRNA (ENSPTEG00000009097.1)". Lineage: Eukaryota; Metazoa; Chordata; Mammalia; Primates; Cercopithecidae. The record is from RNAcentral.